AUACGUAGGGGGCGAGCGUUGUCCGGAAUGAUUGGGCGUAAAGGGCGCGUAGGCGGCGCGGUAAGUCUGGAGUGAAAGUCCUGCUUUCAAGGUGGGAAUUGCUUUGGAUACUGCCGCGCUUGAGUGCAGGAGAGGUUAUCGGAAUUCCCGGUGUAGCGGUGAAAUGCGUAGAGAUCGGGAGGAACACCAGUGGCGAAGGCGGGUAACUGGACUGCAUCUGACGCUGAGGCGCGAAAGUGUGAGGAGCAAACAGGAUUAGAUACCCUGGUAGUCCACACUGUAAACGAUGAAUGCUAGGUGUAAGAGGUAUCGUCCCCUAUUGUGCCGACGUCAACGCAUUAAGCAGUCCGCCUGGGGAGUACGGCCGCAAGGUUGAGACUCAAAUGAAUUGACGGGC
This 397-nucleotide ribosomal RNA is filed under the name uncultured bacterium. RNAcentral's name for it is "partial 16S ribosomal RNA". It matches the Rfam family "Bacterial small subunit ribosomal RNA", at positions 523 to 918 of the family's 1533-position model. The record is from RNAcentral.